RNAcentral lists this ribosomal RNA (125 nucleotides) under Pogona vitticeps (central bearded dragon). Lineage: Eukaryota; Metazoa; Chordata; Lepidosauria; Squamata; Agamidae. The record is from RNAcentral.
CACUACCAUACUAUCUUCUCUGGAUACAAUUGUUACUGUCUGAUUUUGGAAGCUAAGCAGGGUCAAACCUGGCUAGUACUUUGACAGGCAAUCAAAAGGAAAUACCAGGGAUCUCCAGGUAGGGC